AGGCCGAAAGGCGUAGUCGAUGGGAAACAGGUUAAUAUUCCUGUACUUGGUGUUACUGCGAAGGGGGGACGGAGAAGGCUAUGUUAGCCGGGCGACGGUUGUCCCGGUUUAAGCAUGUAGGCUGGUUGUCCAGGCAAAUCCGGAUAAUCAAGGCUGAGGUGUGAUGACGAGGCACUACGGUGCUGAAGUAACAAAUGCCCUGCUUCCAGGAAAAGCCUCUAAGCAUCAGGUAACAUUAAAUCGUACCCCAAACCGACACAGGUGGUCAGGUAGAGAAUACCAAGGCGCUUGAGAGAACUCGGGUGAAGGAACUAGGCAAAAUGGUGCCGUAACUUCGGGAGAAGGCACGCUGGUGUGUAGGUGA
Molecule: ribosomal RNA, 364 nt
Filed under: Klebsiella pneumoniae
Lineage: Bacteria; Pseudomonadati; Pseudomonadota; Gammaproteobacteria; Enterobacterales; Enterobacteriaceae
Description: partial 23S ribosomal RNA
Rfam family: Bacterial large subunit ribosomal RNA
Source: RNAcentral